CCAUGGGGAUGGAUAGGCAUGCUAGUUCGCGUCUCCCAGCCACGGAAGAGACGCAGCGAACGGCUCAGUAACACGUGGUCAACCUACCCUUUGGACGGAGAUAACCCCGGGAAACUGGGGACAACAACCGAUAGGUGAGAAGGCCUGGAACGGUUUCUCGCCUAAAAGACGCCGGGACCAUGCUUCCUGCGUCGCCGUAGGAUGGGACUGCGGCCUAUCAGUUUGUUGGUGAGGUAAUGGCCCACCAAGACUAUUACAGGUACGGGCUCUGAGAGGAGUAGCCCGGAGAUGGGUACUGAGACACGGACCCAGGCCCUAUGGGGCGCAGCAGGCGAGAAAACUUUGCAAUGUGCGAAAGCACGACAAGGUUAAUCCGAGUGGUUUCUGCUAAAGGAACCUUUUGUCAGUCCUAGAAACACUGAUGAAUAAGGGGUGGGCAAGUUCUGGUGUCAGCCGCCGCGGUAAAACCAGCACCUCAAGUGGUCAGGAUGAUUAUUGGGCCUAAAGCAUCCGUAGCCGGCUCUGUAAGUUUUCGGUUAAAUCUGUACGCUCAACGUACAGGCUGCCGGGAAUACUGUAGAGCUAGGGAGUGGGAGAGGUAGACGGUACUCGGUAGGAAGGGGUAAAAUCCUUUGAUCUAUUGAUGACCACCUGUGGCGAAGGCGGUCUACCAGAACACGUCCGACGGUGAGGGAUGAAAGCUGGGGGAGCAAACCGGAUUAGAUACCCGGGUAGUCCCAGCUGUAAACUAUGCAAACUCAGUGAUGCAUUGGCUUGUGGCCAAUGCAGUGCUGCAGGGAAGCCGUUAAGUUUGCCGCCUGGGAAGUACGUACGCAAGUAUGAAACUUAAAGGAAUUGGCGGGGGAGCACCACAAGGGGUGAAGCCUGCGGUUCAAUUGGAGUCAACGCCGGG
Molecule: ribosomal RNA, 913 nt
Filed under: uncultured archaeon
Lineage: Archaea
Description: bacterial SSU rRNA
Rfam family: Archaeal small subunit ribosomal RNA
Source: RNAcentral